AAAGUACUCCCUCCUAUCCAUAUUAAUUGUCUCAAAUUUGACCAAAUAUGUAUGUAUUUAUGCAUAAAAAACGUCUAUAUACAUGUAAUAUUUCGACAAUUAAUAUGGAUUGGAGGGAGUAGUAG
Non-coding RNA from Brachypodium distachyon (stiff brome), 125 nucleotides. The record is from Rfam. Lineage: Eukaryota; Viridiplantae; Streptophyta; Magnoliopsida; Poales; Poaceae.